GACAACACAGCUAGCUUAUGGCUAACCAACACCUUGUAGAUUUAAAGGCCUGCUAAGGAAAAUCCUCAAAGCCUUUUAUCAAGGAACACACGUCACAAUGCAUGGCAAGUAAAGAGGAGUGCUAAUCUGUGAAGCUUACGCCACGCUGAGCUGAACAUUCAGAUGACCAGAGGAGGGCAGAGGGGCGGCAGAAAGCGACUCUGCAAAGAAAGCCAAGCGCUGCUGAAGGUCUAAAGAAGGAACAAGGUUCAGAAGCCCAGGCCUCCAGAGACCAUCGCAGUCUUUUAAAGAUAUGUGCUCACUUAAUCACUGAAGAAAAGGGCCCCCAGAGCUAGCCUAAUAUUAUAAUUAAUUAAUUCAACCAAAAAGGGGUAUUAAAUUUCCUCCCUCUCAGGAUAUCAGCUGAAUACAUUGACCUUUGUGGAAAUCGCCCUCUAAUUUGAAUCAGGGUUUUUUUGAGUCGUUUACAGACUAAACUUGUUUCUUUUUCCUCUACUCCCAUCUAUUUUUUUGGGGAGGGGGGUUUCUCUCUGUCUGCAGGAGUUUGAGGAAAAAGCCUCAUACUACAGGGUGUGCGUGAGAGAGCAACUUUGUCCAUAACGUGCCUCUUUUUGUGUGCGAGUGUGCGCGUAUCUUCACAGAUUUGUGUUUUAUGUGCGUGUCUGUGCAAAAAAAAAGUGCAUGUGAGUGUGAGUGAUCCCUAGUUUUAUCUCCCUGCUGUAACACAGAAAAGAACAGAAACUUUUCUUAUUACCGGAGAGAGUGGUAGAAUAGCAGGCAGCUAAGUCUCUGUCUAUCUCUGUCUCUCUCUCAGUGGUGUAGCUGACUCCCCAGUGUACUCCGGGUCUUCAGUAACUCCGACUGAAGUUCAGAAGGGUUAGGUAGUAUACUCAGGAGGAAGGGGGGAGACAAGAGGAGGAAGACGAGGGGGGGUUAAGUAGGAUUGGAGAAGUGGCAGUUUUAAAGCAGAACUUUAAAUCUCCACCUACGAACGAGAGAGGGAGGACAAUGGCGUCAUGUGCCGCGCCGUUAUCUUCAGGUCUCUGAGAGGCGGGAGACGAGAGGACGAGAAUAAAAAAGAAGCUUGAAGAAGGGCAUACAUGUGAUAAAAGCUGUAGGCUGUAUAAUCUACGCUGCUUUUCAGGGAGGUAUGAAAAAAAAAAGAGUCAAAUCUUCGCAACCUUCAGAUUGUAAGUUCAUGGAAACAGCCUCUAGCUCAACAACAACACAGAACGAAACAGACAGAGGAUUUGCAAGAUGGAUGGAUGAAUGGAUGAGUGGAUGGCUGGACGGGUUGGCAGAUACAGAAACAAACACAGCAAAAGUACAAAUAGAUCUCAGGAGCUUAGCAAAGAAUAACGCCUGUGUGCCAGACCAUUAGCUAGUUUGUAAUCUUCAUGUUUUUCAAUUUGGGUUUUUAAAAACAAUGUUUUUCUUAGAGUGAUGAUUUGGUUGUCAAGGUCAUGAGAACUGUGCAUGAUGGAGUCUGACAAAACUUCCAAUAAAGAUAUGAUAGAGGAGUCACCACUUUCACGGGCACGCCAUCAACCGCAGGAGAAAGGGAUGGAGCAGUUAACCUUCGAAAUGUGUCAAAUCGGUGUCAGGCACAUUAUUUGUCUUAAUAAUGAUAAGCUUACUUUAGCACCUCUUCAAUCAAAAAAAAGAGGGGGAAAAAAGAUGUUAAAAUAUUUGUGUUCCAGCUCUGAUCUCUCACUAGGACCCGAACAACAGUUUGCCUAUUAUGUUCCCGAGAAGCCUUCUGGAGGAAUUUAGAGAGGGACACCAUGUCUUAAUUUGACAAAGGUUGCACCAGAUGUUCUUUCUGUCAGCGAAUGACAUUCAAGCGAUUCCAAACAACAUAUUAAUUCUCAGCGCUGAGAACUAUCAGGCCGUGUUUGACUUCCAUUUUCACUGAGCUCAACCGAGGUGUGGACCACUAACUCCCCCUACUGGCCAUGCUGAAGAAAAAGUAACCAUUUGCAGCAUAU
Oreochromis niloticus (Nile tilapia) is the source of this 1988-nucleotide long non-coding RNA. RefSeq lists it as uncharacterized. Lineage: Eukaryota; Metazoa; Chordata; Actinopteri; Cichliformes; Cichlidae. The record is from RefSeq and is a predicted model, not a curated record. The transcript has 3 exons.